Molecule: microRNA precursor, 78 nt
Filed under: Schistosoma mattheei
Lineage: Eukaryota; Metazoa; Platyhelminthes; Trematoda; Strigeidida; Schistosomatidae
Description: mir-3492 microRNA precursor family
Rfam family: mir-3492 microRNA precursor family
Source: Rfam by way of RNAcentral
AGCUUUUCGAAUCCGUGCUGAGACUUCGUCCGAUACCAGCUCAUUAGGGCUGAUCAGACUUCCAAGAUAAGUGAUGUU